Molecule: ribosomal RNA, 523 nt
Filed under: uncultured bacterium
Lineage: Bacteria
Description: bacterial SSU rRNA
Rfam family: Bacterial small subunit ribosomal RNA
Source: RNAcentral
UAGAGUUUGAUCCUGGCUCAGAUUGAACGCUGGCGGCAGGCUUAACACAUGCAAGUCGAGCGGUAACAGGGGGUGCUUGCACCCCGCUGACGAGCGGCGGACGGGUGAGUAAUGCUUAGGAAUCUGCCCAGUAGUGGGGGACAACAGUCGGAAACGGCUGCUAAUACCGCAUACGCCCUACGGGGGAAAGCAGGGGAUCUUCGGACCUUGCGCUAUUGGAUGAGCCUAAGUCGGAUUAGCUAGUUGGUGGGGUAAAGGCCUACCAAGGCGACGAUCCGUAGCUGGUCUGAGAGGAUGAUCAGCCACAUCGGGACUGAGACACGGCCCGAACUCCUACGGGAGGCAGCAGUGGGGAAUAUUGGACAAUGGGGGCAACCCUGAUCCAGCCAUGCCGCGUGUGUGAAGAAGGCUUUCGGGUUGUAAAGCACUUUCAGCGAGGAGGAAGGCCUUAAAGUUAAUACCUUUAAGGAUUGACGUUACUCGCAGAAGAAGCACCGGCUAACUCCGUGCCAGCAGCCGCGGU